AUGGCGGCGGCGGCGACGGCCACCGCGCCCUCCUCCUUCCCCUCCACCCGCGUCCACAAGCCCACUCUCCUCUCCUUCCGCGUCUCGACCAAGCUCAGAGCCACCGCCGCGCCGCCAUCCGACCCGGCCCCGGCCUUCCGGUCCGUCACGGCGUUCGCGCCGGCGACGGUGGCCAACCUCGGCCCGGGCUUCGACUUCCUGGGCUGCGCGGUCGCCGAAGCCUCGCUCUCCCUCGGCGACACCGUCACGGCCACCCUCGACCCCUCGCUGCCCGCCGGCACGGUCGCCAUCUCCGGCAUCACGUCCCCGGCCCGCCCCCGCCUCGCCGACCGCCUCUCCCGCGACCCGCUCCGCAACUGCGCGGGCAUCGCCGCCGUCGCCGCGCUGCGGGCCCUCGGCGUCCGCUCGCACGGCGUCUCCCUCAGCCUCGCCAAGGGCCUGCCGCUCGGCUCCGGGCUCGGCUCCUCGGCCGCCUCCGCCGCCGCCGCCGCCAAGGCCGUCGACGCGCUCUUCGGCUCCCUGCUCCCCCGCGACGGCCUCGUGCUCGCCGGCCUCGAGUCCGAGAAGGCCGUCAGCGGCUUCCACGCCGACAACAUCGCGCCGGCCAUCCUCGGCGGGUUCGUGAUGGUGCGGAGCUACGAUCCCUUCUGCCUCGUGUCGCUGCCUUGCCCGCCGGCGCUCCGCCUCUGCUUCGUGCUCGUCACCCCGGACUUUGAGGCGCCGACCAGCAAGAUGCGCGCCGCGCUGCCCAAGAACAUCGCCAUGGGCCACCAUGUCCGCAACUCCAGCCAGGCCGCCGCGCUCGUCGCCGGCGUGCUGCAGGGCGACGCCGCCCUCAUCGGCUCCGCGAUGUCGUCCGACUUCAUCGUCGAGCCCACCAGGGCGCCCCUGAUACCUGGAAUGGCUGCGGUGAAGGCCGCCGCUCUCGAAGCCGGAGCGCUGGGAUGUACCAUCAGCGGAGCAGGCCCGACCGCAGUGGCUGUCAUUGAGGGAGAGGAGAAGGGGGAGGAGAUCGCCCGGAGGAUGAUCGACGCCUUCCUGUCGGUCGGCAAGCUGAAAGCGACCGCCACCGUCGCUCAGCUCGACAGAGCGGGCGCCAGGGUCAUCUCCACGUCUGGAUUGGAGUAG
RNAcentral lists this ribosomal RNA (1128 nucleotides) under Triticum aestivum (bread wheat). RNAcentral describes it as "partial small subunit ribosomal RNA". Lineage: Eukaryota; Viridiplantae; Streptophyta; Magnoliopsida; Poales; Poaceae. The record is from RNAcentral.